Molecule: ribosomal RNA, 253 nt
Filed under: uncultured bacterium
Lineage: Bacteria
Description: partial 16S ribosomal RNA
Rfam family: Bacterial small subunit ribosomal RNA
Source: RNAcentral
UACGGGGGGGGCAAGCGUUGUUCGGAAUUACUGGGCGUAAAGGGCUCGUAGGCGGCCAACUAAGUCGGACGUGAAAUCCCUCGGCUUAACUGGGGAACUGCGUCUGAUACUGGAUGGCUUGGAUUCGGGAGAGGGAUGCGGAAUUCCUGGUGUAGCGGUGAAAUGCGCAGAUAUCAGGAGGAACACCGGUGGCGAAGGCGGGUCUCUGGGCAACUACUGACGCUGAGGAGCGAAAGCGUGGGGAGCGAACAGG